Molecule: long non-coding RNA, 2593 nt
Filed under: Homo sapiens (human)
Lineage: Eukaryota; Metazoa; Chordata; Mammalia; Primates; Hominidae
Description: HSALNT0291802
Source: RNAcentral
GUCAGCUUAUCUCUUCUGCAUCAAGAGGGGUCAACUGCAAGUCUGGGAUGGUGGCUGAGCUGAUCUUGGGACCCCAGGCCCUUCUAGAACGAAGUCUCAGCGUGGGAGCCAGGAGCAGACAGGGUCUCGACCUCAGAGAGCUUCCAGCCUGAUGGAGAGAGCCGGAAGAGUCAGGCUGGCUCUGUGGCUGCCCGUGGUCUUGGGGCAGGAGGGCUCCAACUAUGGGCCUGGAAAAAGGAGGGGCAGAGGCUUGAGGGACUGGUAGAGACUGGGGAGAGAAGAAAGAGGCAGGGUGUUCUAGGCAGGAAGAUCAGUAUGGGCAAAGUGGGAAGGCUGGACUGAGUAACGUACAUAUGUGUGCACGAGUCUGUGUAUACUAGCGAGAGCAUGCCCUAGGGGCCUUGGAGAAUAUAAAAUCCAACUUUUCAUUUUAUUGGUGAGGAAGCUGAGGCUAGAGAAGGGAAGGGACAUGUCUCUGGUCAGAGUGAGGUCCUGACUGACUCCAGCUCCAGUCCAGGUUCUGCCUCCAAUUCCUGGGUUCUAAAGACGGAGGUGUCAAGCUGAGCUGCCAAGUCCCUCCUUCUCCGGCUUUUUGCUGGUCCCACAGUGGUCUUGGUGAUGCAGAGCAGGGGCUUAACAGUGAUGUCUGCCUUCUGGCCAAUGGGAGGGUCUGGGGCUGGGCACUCUAUCCCUGUCCAGGAGUCCCAAACAAACCCGGAGUGGCUGCUUACACCUCGGCCUUAUCCACAAGGCAUGUCCCAAGCCCAGACUCUGGACACCCAGAGAAGAACCCAGCACUGAACACCAGGCCGAAUGGGCUCCAACACCCACGCUAGAGAAAGCCCCAACCACCUGACCCAGAGAGAACUUACAACUGGGCUCUGAACACAGAGAAAAGGUCCCAGCACCUGACCCAGACGCAUCUACACAGGCUGAGUUUCCAUUACAAACUCAGUACUGGAUCACUACAACGCCAUCCAGAAACUCCCGUAAAGAACCGAACAUCCAAAUGCGAGCACCCAGAGAGGGUCCCAGCACCCAAACCCUGAACACUAAGAGGAGAUCCCAACACCCGAACCGGGUCCAUUUGGAUCUGCUUCCAACCCAGACCCAGAACAUCCCGAUUAGAUGCCUACAAUUGACUCAGAUCUGGAGCCCACACCGGGAAUGGACUCACCCAGUCCUCCCUCCUCCCCAUCCAGCCUCGGUGAGGCUCAUCCUGAGAGGUCUUCCAAGUUCGAAGACUUUUUCUGCCGAUAUGUGUGACCAUCGAUCGGGAUGACUGCGACUGGGGAAGGGAGCAGGAGGCCAGGCCUGUUCCCUUUGGGGGAAAGGGGAGGGGAUCCAGUUUGCAGGGCUAGGGUGGGAGCGGGCAGGCGGGGUGUGCGCCCCGGCCGCUUCCAGUCGGCGCGGGAGCUGGGACGGAAGCUGUGCGCCCUCGGAGCCCCUGCAGUCCCCUCACCGGGCGCUCCCAAACAGCCCGCGGGGCGCUGGGCGCGGGGCCAGGAAAUCCGGCGCCGGCCCUUGAAGCGCACCCGGGCCGGGAGGGGGCGGCGGGGGCGGCGGGGGCGGGCUGGGCGCUGGCACCACGACCGCCCGCUGAGCAACGUGACUGCGCGGGCUCGGGUCCCCACCAGGACAAGGCGGCCUCUGUGCCGACCCAGCUGAUUCCUCUCGGGCUGCAAAUCCCUUCCGGCUGACAGCCCUGCCGGCUGGGGCCAGGCAAGGGAACGGGAAGCGGGGUUGGGGGCGAGGUGGGCGCUGAGGAUUGGAGCCCAUUGGCGGGAGGCCCCCAGGAAGGCCGUCUGCUCCGUACAUCCAGGGUAGCAAAGGCUACCGUUCCCGGACAGAGAAGCCGAGGCUAGGAGAGGUCCAAUUACUAGCCCAAGUCGCACAACUUGUUUCUUGGUUAAAGCCAGAGUUCUAAAUGACGCCCCAUGAUAAACUCUGUAUUUGUUGUUGAGAGUUAGGUGGCGUUAUUAGUCUCAGUUUAUAAAUGAAGGAAUGUGAGGCUCAGAGUUGAAGCCGCCAGCCCAACGUCCUAAGACAAGAAGGGAGUGAGGCUGGGACUGGAGCCCAGGACUGCCUGCUCCAAAACAUGGGGGCCAGGCAGUCCCAGCAGACCCCUGACCCCAGGUAAUCACUGACAACAAGCCGGAGGCUCUGCCAUGGGCCCGUCCCAGGGUCCCCCUGCUCAUGGCCUUCUGUCUGGUUGGUUCAGUGUGGUGGACCCGAGGAAUGAGUUCCGUUAAUCUCCUGGAGGACAGAUGUGGGGCUGAAGGAGGGAGAUGGGGUGAGGGUGGAGGCGCCAGGUGGCUGGAGAGGGGACUGGAGGGCAAUGCAUCUGGGAAAUGACUUUCCAGAGGUCCCUCUGCCCUCCCCCUGCAGCUGGGGACGGAGCUGGAACCCCAGAGGCCAUGAGGGUGGGCUGGGGAACCAUCCAGGAUCCAGCCUCACCCUGGCCUCCCAGGAACAGGAUGGGGAUUGUCCCGUGAAUUCUAUGGAAUUAAAAAAUGGCACCUUCUCAGCGGGAAGGGAGCUCGGCUGGUUCCCGGGACUGUCUGGCUUCUGUCCUGACUCCUACAACUGCGGC